This 231-nucleotide ribosomal RNA is filed under the name uncultured bacterium. Its description in RNAcentral is "partial 16S ribosomal RNA". It matches the Rfam family "Bacterial small subunit ribosomal RNA", at positions 99 to 334 of the family's 1533-position model. The record is from RNAcentral.
CGGACGGGUGAGUAAUGUCUGGGAAACUGCCUGAUGGAGGGGGAUAACUACUGGAAACGGUAGCUAAUACCGCAUAACGUCGCAAGACCAAAGAGGGGACCUUAGGGCCUCUUGCCAUCGGAUGUGCCCAGAUGGGAUUAGCUAGUAGGUGGGGUAACGGCUCACCUAGGCGACGAUCCCUAGCUGGUCUGAGAGGAUGACCAGCCACACUGGAACUGAGACACGGUCCAG